This 1235-nucleotide non-coding RNA is filed under the name Streptomyces sp. HCCB10043. RNAcentral's name for it is "bacterial LSU rRNA". It matches the Rfam family "Bacterial large subunit ribosomal RNA", at positions 1717 to 2925 of the family's 2925-position model. Lineage: Bacteria; Bacillati; Actinomycetota; Actinomycetes; Kitasatosporales; Streptomycetaceae. The record is from RNAcentral.
GCAAAAUGCCCCCGUAACUUCGGGAGAAGGGGGGCCAUCACUGGUGAUCCGAUUUACUCGGUGAGCUGAGGGUGGCCGCAGAGACCAGCGAGAAGCGACUGUUUACUAAAAACACAGGUCCGUGCGAAGCCGUAAGGCGAUGUAUACGGACUGACGCCUGCCCGGUGCUGGAACGUUAAGGGGACCGGUUAGCUGCCUUUCGGGGUGGCGAAGCUGAGAACUUAAGCGCCAGUAAACGGCGGUGGUAACUAUAACCAUCCUAAGGUAGCGAAAUUCCUUGUCGGGUAAGUUCCGACCUGCACGAAUGGCGUAACGACUUCUCGACUGUCUCAACCAUAGGCCCGGUGAAAUUGCACUACGAGUAAAGAUGCUCGUUUCGCGCAGCAGGACGGAAAGACCCCGGGACCUUUACUAUAGUUUGAUAUUGGUGUUCGGUUCGGCUUGUGUAGGAUAGGUGGGAGACUGUGAAGCGGCCACGCCAGUGGUUGUGGAGUCGUCGUUGAAAUACCACUCUGGUCGUGCUGGAUGUCUAACCUGGGUCCGUGAUCCGGAUCAGGGACAGUGUCUGAUGGGUAGUUUAACUGGGGCGGUUGCCUCCUAAAGAGUAACGGAGGCGCCCAAAGGUUCCCUCAGCCUGGUUGGUAAUCAGGUGUUGAGUGUAAGUGCACAAGGGAGCUUGACUGUGAGACCGACGGGUCGAGCAGGGACGAAAGUCGGGACUAGUGAUCCGGCAGUGGCUUGUGGAAGCGCUGUCGCUCAACGGAUAAAAGGUACCCCGGGGAUAACAGGCUGAUCUUCCCCAAGAGUCCAUAUCGACGGGAUGGUUUGGCACCUCGAUGUCGGCUCGUCGCAUCCUGGGGCUGGAGUCGGUCCCAAGGGUUGGGCUGUUCGCCCAUUAAAGCGGUACGCGAGCUGGGUUUAGAACGUCGUGAGACAGUUCGGUCCCUAUCCGCUGUGCGCGUAGGAAUAUUGAGAAGGGCUGUCCCUAGUACGAGAGGACCGGGACGGACGAACCUCUGGUGUGCCAGUUGUCCUGCCAAGGGCAUGGCUGGUUGGCUACGUUCGGAAAGGAUAACCGCUGAAAGCAUCUAAGCGGGAAGCCUGCUUCGAGAUGAGUAUUCCCACCCCCUUUGAGGGGUUAAGGCUCCCAGUAGACGACUGGGUUGAUAGGCCAGAUGUGGAAGCCCGGUAACGGGUGGAGCUGACUGGUACUAAUAGGCCGAGGGCUUGUCCUC